Molecule: ribosomal RNA, 202 nt
Filed under: uncultured bacterium
Lineage: Bacteria
Description: partial 16S ribosomal RNA
Rfam family: Bacterial small subunit ribosomal RNA
Source: RNAcentral
UACAGAGGGUGCAAGCGUUAAUCGGAAUUACUGGGCGUAAAGCGCGCGUAGGUGGUUUGUUAAGUUGGAUGUGAAGUCCCCGGGCGUCAACCUGGGAACGUGCAUUCAAAACUGACAAGCUAGAGUAUGGUAGAGGUGGUGGAAGUUUCCUGUGUAGCGGUGAAAUGCGUAGAUAUAGGAAGGAACACCAGUGGCGAAGGCG